RNAcentral lists this long non-coding RNA (301 nucleotides) under Mytilus galloprovincialis (Mediterranean mussel). Lineage: Eukaryota; Metazoa; Mollusca; Bivalvia; Mytilida; Mytilidae. The record is from RNAcentral.
UGUCAUUUUGUCAAUAGCUGACUGCACUGGCCACAUUUACCUGCUGGAGAAAAGUCAUUCCGAUGUCAUUUUAAAUCAUAUUGGUCCAUGUUAUACACGAGAGAAACCCUAAUUCAAUUAUCUAUGGCAUGACAUUCUCCUAUUUUACAAAAAACGCAUUGAUUUUCAGUAAAUUGACGAAAAGUCGACCUACCCUAUGUUUAUUUUGGAUAAUUUGAACCAGAAAAGCUCAACAGGAAGUGCCAGAAUACUUUUUUCCGUCUCAACCAUUUGGUUGAGAUUAGAUGGUUUACCAGGCGUG